GAUGAACGCUGGCGGCGUGCCUAAUACAUGCAAGUCGAGCGAACAGACGAGGAGCUUGCUCCUCUGACGUUAGCGGCGGACGGGUGAGUAACACGUGGAUAACCUACCUAUAAGACUGGGAUAACUUCGGGAAACCGGAGCUAAUACCGGAUAAUAUAUUGUACCGCAUGGUUCAAUAGUGAAAGACGGUUUUGCUGUCACUUAUAGAUGGAUCCGCGCCGCAUUGGCUAGUUGGUAAGGUAACGGCUUACCAAGGCGACGAUGCGUAGCCGACCUGAGAGGAUGAUCGGCCACACUGGAACUGAGACACGGUCCAGACUCCUACGGGAGGCAGCAGUAGGGAAUCUUCCGCAAUGGGCGAAAGCCUGACGGAGCAACGCCGCGUGAGUGAUGAAGGUCUUCGGAUCGUAAAACUCUGUUAUUAGGGAAGAACAAAUGUGUAAGUAACUAUGCACGUCUUGACGGUACCUAAUCAGAAAGCCACGGCUAACUACGUG
Molecule: ribosomal RNA, 497 nt
Filed under: uncultured bacterium
Lineage: Bacteria
Description: partial 16S ribosomal RNA
Rfam family: Bacterial small subunit ribosomal RNA
Source: RNAcentral